This 1472-nucleotide non-coding RNA is filed under the name Clonorchis sinensis. RNAcentral describes it as "Eukaryotic small subunit ribosomal RNA". It matches the Rfam family "Eukaryotic small subunit ribosomal RNA", at positions 614 to 1753 of the family's 1831-position model. Lineage: Eukaryota; Metazoa; Platyhelminthes; Trematoda; Opisthorchiida; Opisthorchiidae. The record is from Rfam by way of RNAcentral.
UACGUUUCAAAAUUUCGAAGUUGUCAGCCGCUGCGUUAAAAUGCUCAGCUUAUCGUCUUCCAUAAUGUCAUUUGCUUUCACGAGAUUAAUGUCAAACAUAGAGAUAAGAUACCACUUCUGCCGUUCACGGUACCCUGUUUUUUACGCUAACUCGCCUUCAUUAUUAUGAUUUUCUAUGUGUGAGAAGAAAUUUAGAGUCUUGUAGACGUUUGUGAGUCGGUGUCGUGGUUGUGCAGCCUUUCUGUCGUGUCUGUUUCGGCAGGUGUUAGCAUGAUUGGUGGGUUCGUCCUGCUGAUCUGUUGACAUGCUUCCAGGUGCCCUUAACCGGGUGUCGGGGGCGGACGGCACGUUUACUUUGAACACAUUUGAGUGCUCAAAGCAGGCCCGUGUGCCUGAAAAUUCUCGCAUGGAAUAAUGGAAUAGGACUUCGGUUUUAUUUUGUUGGUUUUCGGAUCCGAAGUAAUGGUUAAAAGGGACAGACGGGGGCAUUUGUAUGGUGGCGUUAGUGGUGAAAUUCUUGGAUCACCGCCAGACAAACUACAGCAAAAGCAUUUGCCAAGGAUGUUUUCAUUGAUCUGGAGCGAAAGUCAGAGGUUCGAAGACGAUCAGAUACCUUCCUGGUCCUGACCAUAAACGAUGCCAACUGACGAUCCGUGGUGGCGCGAUUAUUCGCCCCGCGGGCAGCCCCCGGGAAACCUUUAAGUCUUUGGGCUCCGGGGGAAGUAUGGUUGCGAAGCUGAAACGUAAAGGAAUUGACGGAAGGGCAUCACCAGGAGUGGAGCCUGCGGCUUAAUUCGACUCAACACGGGAAAUCUCACCCGGCCCGGACACUGUGAGGAUUGACAGAUUGAUAGCUCUUUCUUGAUUCGGUGGUUGGUGGUGCAUGGCCGUUCUUAGUUGGUGGAGCGAUUUGUCUGGUUAAUUCCGAUAACGAAUGAGACUUUGGUCUGCUAAAUAGUACGCCUGUCCUCUGUGCUCGUGCAGGUGGCGGUGCUCAUUGCCUCUCUGGGGUGAUGGUGCCAUUCGCCGGCGGGUGCGGCGCAGGUGUCUACUUCUUAGAGGGACAAGCGGCGUGCCAGUCGCACGAAAUUGAGCAAUAACAGGUCUGUGAUGCCCUUAGAUGUCCGGGGCCGCACGUGCGCUACAAUGACGGUUUCAACGAGUUUGGGAUCCUAGCCCGAAAGGGUUGGGUAAACUGAACCAUAACCGUCGUGACUGGGAUCGGGGCUUGCAAUUGUUCCCCGUAAACGAGGAAUUCCUGGUAAGUGCAAGUCAUAAGCUUGCGCUGAUUACGUCCCUACCCUUUGUACACACCACCCGUCGCUACUACCGAUUGAAUGGUCUAGCAAGGUCCUCGGAUUGGUGCCAUUGUAGUUGCUUCGGCAUCGCUUUUGUAUUGCGGUGUCCCUGAUAUUGAAGAGUUUUGCCCAAUACAAUGCCGGAUUGGUUAGCAUACAAAACCAGGCUGAAAA